This 253-nucleotide unclassified non-coding RNA is filed under the name uncultured Myxococcales bacterium. Its description in RNAcentral is "contains 16S-23S intergenic spacer region". It matches the Rfam family "Bacterial small subunit ribosomal RNA", at positions 524 to 776 of the family's 1533-position model. The record is from RNAcentral. Lineage: Bacteria; Pseudomonadati; Myxococcota; Myxococcia; Myxococcales.
UACGUGGGGUGCAAGCGUUGUUCGGAAUUACUGGGCGUAAAGCGCGUGUAGGCGGUAAAACGGGUCGGAUGUGAAAGCCCUUGGCUUAACCAAGGAAGUGCGUCCGAAACUAUUUUGCUUGAGUGCGGGAGAGGAGGGUGGAAUUCCCAGUGUAGAGGUGAAAUUCGUAGAUAUUGGGAGGAACAUCGGUGGCGAAAGCGACUCUCUAGACCGCAACUGACGCUAAGACGCGAAAGCGUGGGGAUCAAACAGG